UAUCCAGACUCCUACGGGAGGCAGCAGUGAGGAAUAUUGGUCAAUGGGCGGGAGCCUGAACCAGCCAAGUCGCGUGAGGGAAGAAUGUCCUAUGGAUUGUAAACCUCUUUUGUCAGGGAGCAAAGUCACCCACGUGUGGGUGUUGGAGAGUACCUGAAGAAAAAGCAUCGGCUAACUCCGUGCCAGCAGCCGCGGUAAUACGGAGGAUGCGAGCGUUAUCCGGAUUUAUUGGGUUUAAAGGGUGCGUAGGUGGUUAAUUAAGUCAGCGGUGAAAGUUUGUGGCUCAACCAUAAAAUUGCCGUUGAAACUGGUUGACUUGAGUAUAUUUGAGGUAGGCGGAAUGCGUGGUGUAGCGGUGAAAUGCAUAGAUAUCACGCAGAACUCCGAUUGCGAAGGCAGCUUACUAAACUAUAACUUACACUGAAGCACGAAAGCGUGGGGAUCAAACAGGAUUAGAUACCCGUGUAAA
Molecule: ribosomal RNA, 469 nt
Filed under: uncultured bacterium
Lineage: Bacteria
Description: bacterial SSU rRNA
Rfam family: Bacterial small subunit ribosomal RNA
Source: RNAcentral